This 513-nucleotide ribosomal RNA is filed under the name uncultured bacterium. Its description in RNAcentral is "partial 16S ribosomal RNA". It matches the Rfam family "Bacterial small subunit ribosomal RNA", at positions 28 to 507 of the family's 1533-position model. The record is from RNAcentral.
GACGAACGCUGGCGGCGUGCCUAACACAUGCAAGUCGAACGAAAAGAGGGAAAGAGCUUGCUCUUUCCGGAAUUGAGUGGCAAACGGGUGAGUAACACGUAAACAACCUGCCUUCAGGAUGGGGACAACAGACGGAAACGACUGCUAAUACCGAAUAAGUUCCAAGGGCCGCAUGGCCCAUGGAAGAAAAGGUGGCCUCUACCUGUAAGCUAUCGCCUGAAGAGGGGUUUGCGUCUGAUUAGCUGGUUGGAGGGGUAACGGCCCACCAAGGCGACGAUCAGUAGCCGGUCUGAGAGGAUGAACGGCCAAACUGGAAAUGGGACACGGGCCAGAACCCUACGGGAGGCAGCAGUGGGGAAUCUUCCGAAAUGGGCGAAAGCCUGACGGAGCAACGCCGCGUGAGUGAUGACGGCCUUCGGGUUGUAAAACUCUGUGAUCCGGGACGAAAAGGCAGAGUGCGAAGAACAAACUGCAUUGACGGUACCGGAAAAGCAAGCCACGGCUAACUACGUG